Molecule: ribosomal RNA, 308 nt
Filed under: uncultured bacterium
Lineage: Bacteria
Description: bacterial SSU rRNA
Rfam family: Bacterial small subunit ribosomal RNA
Source: RNAcentral
GAUGGACGCUAGCGGCAGGCCUAAUACAUGCAAGUCGAGGGAGAAGUUUGGUGCUUGCACUAGAUGGGAACCGGCGAACGGGUGCGUAACACGUAUGCAACCUACCUAUAACUGGGGGAUAGCCCGAAGAAAUUCGGAUUAAUACCCUAUAAUACUUAUUUACCGCAUGGUAGAUAUUUAAAACUCCGGUGGUUAUAGAUGGGCAUGCGGCCUAUUAGUUUGUUGGUGAGGUAACGGCUCACCAAGACUACGAUAGGUAGGGGGUCUGAGAGGAUGAUCCCCCACACUGGUACUGAGACACGGACCAG